Long non-coding RNA from Bos taurus (domestic cattle), 711 nucleotides. NCBI's taxonomy places the organism in Eukaryota, Metazoa, Chordata, Mammalia, Artiodactyla, Bovidae. The record is from Ensembl.
GAAACAAAUCCUGGCCGGCCUCACAUAUGCUUAAUCGGGGAAGUCUGCGCCCGGCUCUGCCCACCCUGUGCUGCCUCUCCUGGCGCGGCUGGAGCGCCCGGCUCGGGGCAGCUGCCGCCCAGCCUGCCCGCCUCUCAGCAGCUGGGCGGGAGCGCCUGGGCUGCUCUGGACACUCCUCUGACCGGGGCUCGGCGCCUUCAGUCGCAUUUACAGCCCGGGGAGGAAGCUGGGGUAAAGUUCAGAAGCAGUUUGCAGGGAGUUUUAGGCAAUAUCCUGCAACUCUUUCACAGGCCCUGAGCUGGGCGCUCCUCUCCCACAGGCUCGGUAAAGGGUCAAGCUUCAGAAACAGGAUUCUCCCCUUCUCCCUCGAGGGGGAAGGAGCUGGAGGCGAGCUGAGCGCCCCGGGGCAGUCUGCCAGCCAGCGAUAGGAGGGGGCUCGCCUCAACAGUCCCGGCCUUUUAUCUCCCGCUGACCUGCCCGUGCAGCAACACGAAGCCAGUGCCGGGCUUCCUGCAGCUUGCCGAGAGGGGCUGUUUGACUCGUUCAAACUAAACGAAGGGCCUCUCUUCAUCCAAGUCCAGAAAGCCCAGGAGUCAGCUACAGUAGCUCCAGUUAAUGUCUGCGUUUACACUGCUAUUAUUAAAAUAAUUCAGGAGCAUUUAAUAACAUCCCUUGAUCACGGGAACGCAGGCAGCACACCACGUGCUCCCC